RNAcentral lists this ribosomal RNA (322 nucleotides) under Asianopis zhuanghaoyuni. Its description in RNAcentral is "partial small subunit ribosomal RNA". Lineage: Eukaryota; Metazoa; Arthropoda; Arachnida; Araneae; Deinopidae. The record is from RNAcentral.
UAAAUCAAACCUAUAUAGUUUGGCGGCACUUCAUCUUAUUAGAGGAACUUGUUUUUUAAUCGACACACCCCGAUAAAUUUCACUUUAAAUCAAAGUUUAUAUACCGCCAUUUUAAGAAUAAAUUUAAAAAUUACAUUCUAAAAAAUAUUCUAGAAAAUUAGGUCAAGGUGUAACUAAUAUUAAAGAUAAAAUGAGUUAUUUUAAAUUUUAUUUAAGGACUAAAAUGCAAAAAUAUUAUACGAAAAAAGAUUUAAAAGUAAAUUUUAAUAAUAAUAAUAAUAUUUCAAAUUGAAUCAAGAAAUAAGUGUGCACACAUCGCCCG